RNAcentral lists this long non-coding RNA (232 nucleotides) under Solanum tuberosum (potato). RNAcentral's name for it is "long non-coding RNA (STUB_LNC000228)". Lineage: Eukaryota; Viridiplantae; Streptophyta; Magnoliopsida; Solanales; Solanaceae. The record is from RNAcentral.
CCCAAGUCAAGCUUGAUUACAAAUCCAAGGCAAGUGAGCAACCACAAGGAGGUAACUAUGUUAAACCUAACUUUCCUCGACCUUCUACAAUUCAAUGCUUUAGAUGUCAAGGGAGGGGACAUGUUGCUAGUGAGUGUCCAAAUAGGAGAACAAUUGUUGCUCUUCGUGAUGGAUAUAAGACUGAAGAUGAAGAUGAGGGUGAAGAAAAAAAUGAGGGAGAGGGAGACAGGGG